RNAcentral lists this transfer RNA (73 nucleotides) under Blastopirellula sp. Its description in RNAcentral is "tRNA-Phe". It matches the Rfam family "tRNA". Rfam says of the family: Transfer RNA (tRNA) molecules are approximately 80 nucleotides in length. Their secondary structure includes four short double-helical elements and three loops (D, anti-codon, and T loops). RNAcentral also lists the same sequence under 1 other name. The record is from RNAcentral. Lineage: Bacteria; Pseudomonadati; Planctomycetota; Planctomycetia; Pirellulales; Pirellulaceae.
GGUCGGAUAGCUCAGUUGGUAGAGCAUCGGACUGAAAAUCCGAGUGUCGCCGGUUCGAACCCGGCUCCGACCA